GCCGGGCGUGGUGGUGGGCGUCUGUAAUCCCAGCUACUUGGGAGGCUGAGGCAGGAGAAUUGCUUGAACCCAGGAGGUGGAGGUUGCAGUGAGCCGAGUUCGUGCCACUGCACUCCAGCCUGGGCAACAGAGCAAGACUCUGCCUCUA
Molecule: signal recognition particle RNA, 148 nt
Filed under: Pan paniscus (pygmy chimpanzee)
Lineage: Eukaryota; Metazoa; Chordata; Mammalia; Primates; Hominidae
Also listed under: 1 other name
Description: Metazoan signal recognition particle RNA
Rfam family: Metazoan signal recognition particle RNA
About the family: The signal recognition particle (SRP) is a universally conserved ribonucleoprotein. It is involved in the co-translational targeting of proteins to membranes. The eukaryotic SRP consists of a 300-nucleotide 7S RNA and six proteins: SRPs 72, 68, 54, 19, 14, and 9.
Source: Rfam by way of RNAcentral